Molecule: ribosomal RNA, 440 nt
Filed under: uncultured bacterium
Lineage: Bacteria
Description: partial 16S ribosomal RNA
Rfam family: Bacterial small subunit ribosomal RNA
Source: RNAcentral
CCUACGGGAGGCUGCAGUGGGGGAUAUUGCACAAUGGGGGAAACCCUGAUGCAGCGACGCAGCGUGGGUGAAGAAGCGCCUCGGCGCGUAAAGCUCUGUCAGCAGGGAAGUAAAUGACGGUACCUGAAGAACAAGCCCCGGCUAACUACGUGCCAGCAGCCGCGGUAAUACGGAGGGGGCAAGCGUUAUCCGGAUUUACUGGGUGUAAAGGGGGCGCAGACGGCGAUGCAAGCCAGGAGUGAAAGCCCGGGGCUCAACCCCGGGACUGCUCGUGGAACUGCGUGGCUAGAGUGCAGGAAGGGCAGGCGGAAUUCCUGGUGUAGCGGUGAAAUGCGUAGAUAUGAGGAGGAACACCGGUGGCGAAGGCGGCCUGCUGGACUGCAACUGACGUUGAGGCCCGAAAGCGUGGGGAGCGAACAGGAUUAGAUACCCUGGUAGUC